Molecule: non-coding RNA, 5267 nt
Organism: Zonotrichia albicollis (white-throated sparrow)
Lineage: Eukaryota; Metazoa; Chordata; Aves; Passeriformes; Passerellidae
Source: RefSeq, a predicted model, not a curated record
UAGAGGUGUGGAGGAUGGUGAGAAAAGGUCCAGGAUUAAUUGGGAAAGAAAGACAGAAAGGGUAUUGGGGGUAGCAUUACUCUGAAGGCUGAAGCGGAGGAGGCGACAGAAGUCCAUGGGAUCAUGCAAGAGUUCUUCAUCACUUCACAUCAGAUCACAGCCUGAAACAGUGUGAGAGAGAUUCUGGUGAAGAUUCUCAAAGCCCAAAUUGAUACAGAAAAUUAAAACCUCAUCUUCUAUAACUACAUCUGAAGUGCAAAUCAACAAGAAGAGACCUAAAGACUUUAAAAUACCUUUUGGAAAAGCCCACAGCUCUGUCUCAUAUAUUUGACUCCUCAGGAAGAUGAUUUUCAGUGAAGAAAGAAGUUUGGGAAGGAAGGAAAACAAAAUUCAUUCUUGCCUUAACCCAGCUAAUGUUGUACAAAGAAAUUCAAAGGACUUUGCCAGGCACAAGAAAAGAACAGAAUACAAGAAUUCUGUCCACCAGAAGAGUGAAUUAAAGACUCGAGAGUGGAAAAUGCAGUGUUAUGCAGAUGAGGGCAGGUCUCUUCUACCAACAUGUGCCCUUACUGAGAAGGAGGUAAGGAAGCCUUCCUUUACUCUGCCAGAUAAAACAGCAGCAACCUCAUGCUCUGCAAAGAUUUUCCAGACUACAAACCAUUUUAGGAACUUGGUGAGUACUUUUACCAGCUCUGAAAACCAGCCCCUUGUAUUUCUCAAGAACACCCACCUCUCCGGCAACAGGAUGAGUCAGACAGCAUCCAGGAGCUUCAUUCCAGGAAUCUGGCCCACUCAGAAACCCAGAAAAGAAGCACAGAGAACUGACAUUUUCUUGAUAAAAGGGAAAGCACAGUGAGCAAACACUCUGGACAAAGUCUACCCUGAACAUUGAACAAAAGGCCCUAAAAUUGCCAUGGGCUUCUCGUCAACUGUUUGCCUUAAUGAACUAUACAGAUUAGUAAAAGAGACAUCUGCUCCCACUUUUCUAUUACUAAUAUCACAGCUUCCCUCAUUUAAACUGUGCAUCAGGUUUGUUUCUGAGUCAAUCCUUGUCACAACUAUGGGUUAAUUUCUGAUGUCCCAAGACAGGGCAUCCAUAUUUAUUUGUCUUAGUACCAACCAGAUAUUAAAUCCCAGGGCAAAAGCUGUAAAAACAGGAAUGGUAACAUCUUAACAUCUGUUGGAACUUCCCAAACUAAACAUGGUGAGCAAUUAUAUGGACAGCUGGCAGCUUCAGGUUCAGUCUUCCUCCAUCUGGUGGGACUGGAGGAGAGAAAACUGGAACAAUGCCAGGGUCAAGAUGCCCUAACGUAAGUGAGGAGCCUUCUACACCAAACCAACGUAAGCAUGACCUGAGGCUGACACAAGAGAAAGCUGAGCUGGUAAUUUGAGGAGAAAUGUGGGUAGUGACCACUGUCUUUCACUGGGGGACUGCCAUUUCAACUAUCCUAGUUCUCUUUGGAGUCUCUGGUGGGAAUUGAUGUCCACUGAUCAGGGCUGCAAGCAGCACAGAGCCCUUGGGGAUUUCUGUCAUGCCCAUUGCUGGAGGCAGUAUCUAGCUGAUAGUAUGCCUCCCACAAAAUAUGCUUCAGGGAAAAAAAAAAGUAUUCUGCCUCCUUCAGUCCUUUUGAGCAUGUCACUCCGUUGCUAUGUUCUCUGCACUGGGUGCCACCGAUUGCCAACACCAUUUCAACACUUCGUCUUCCCUCUGUAAAGACAGCUACCUGGCUCAGCUAAAUUAAGGACACCAGAUAAACAGAAUAAUCCUUGCGUGCAAGCUAAGAAAGCAAACGGAACAGGUGGGAAACUGCUUUCUUACUCCAAGGAAGCCAAGGGGAUUUCUGAGAUUUUCAUAUCCUGCACCAAGGAAACAGGACCUUUCAGGGAUUUUUGUGAAAAAUAAGGUACUUCUGCCCACUGCAGAGAAGCUACUAAUCCAUUGGCUCAGACACUUGCCAAGAGCUGUGGAGCAGCCAAAAUGAGUUAUCACUUUCCUUAAUUGAGAGCAGAAAGCUGAAAUCCCUUUCCCACGUAAUCACAGAGUAUCAGCUAUUCUAGGAGAAUUUGUGCUUGUUCUGUAUCCAUCAGUUCCCUUCCCUCCUCUCCAAAUUUCUAUCUGGGUAUGAGCAAUCCUUCCUGUCCAAAUCACUACAGUUUUUUUACAGAACAUGUAGGUGUAAAUAAUUAGCUUUUUCCAACAGCAGUUUCAGCAGGACAUGUCUCACUGGCCCUGGAGGUGCAGUAGCUCUUCUCCUUACCAUGGCUGCUGCUGAGCAGUUGUGUGUUGGUUUUACAUGUCUUAGUUUUUGGUGGGAAGUGAUUUUCUGUGAGAAGCUUCUGGAAGCUUCCUCCGUGCCUGGCAAAGCCAGUCCUUGGCUGGCUCUGAGAACAGACAUGCUGCUAAGCCAAUUAUAGAAUUUGGUAACGCCUCUGUAAUGACGUAUUUAAGAAGGAACUCAAAACCGUGUGCAGUUCUUCUGAGGGGUGGGGAGGCACGGCGGCCGGAGCCAUCCUGGCACUGCGAGUGUCCAUGUGGCCGGUGUGACUGUGUGGCCAGCGAGCCUUGCCUGUCGUGCCACCCUCAGCCAGGUGUGCUGCAGGCAGAAGGACAGGGGUGGCGGCAGCAGCUUCUCUCUUUCCUGCACGCUGCAUGGGGAGAGAUGUAGAAUGGUGCCAGUGCUGUGGCUGGCGGGGCCACAUGGCCUGUGGUAGAAACAUGGCAAGUGACUCCUCAGCAUGGAUCCAGAUGAGAACAACCUUUCAGCACUGUGAAACCCUACAAGGACUUUUCAAUUGACAGAACUUGAGAAUAGUACCUAUGGACGACAAUUUUCUUCCAAGCCAGAGAAUGGGAAGAGGUAAAGUCACAUGAGGAGAGCCAACAUGGCGGCACGGAGGUCAGUAAAGAAAGAGGGAGAAGAGGGAUCCAAGUGCCAAAGCUGAAAUUUUCUUCUGCAAACUGUGCUAAAAGACUAUAGUUAAAUAAGCUGUCCCCUUCGCAGCUCAUCAGAUCCCCAAAAGACAUGCAGAGGUCCAAAAGGAUGCCAAAAGGAGCUAUAAAAACCUGUACUCAGGUGGACAAGUAACUCACAGGCAAUAGUUUCAGGAAGCCUGUUUUGCCCAUGAGCCUGUUCAUGUUUGCAGAAGACUGGGUGGGGCUGCUGCUCAUGAGAAGAGAACCAAGCUGGAGAAGUUCAGAGAGAACUAUCUCCCAUAGGGGAACCUCACAGUACAACAGAAGAAAGACUUUUUCCCUAAACAAACAGAAGAAAAUUCAAAGUAAUGAACUGACUAAAACUCCUGUGUUUUGUCUUCCUGAGCUGUCAAUGGGAAAGAGGGAGGGGCUGGGAAAAAAAAGUGUUCUAGAAGUUUCUUUUAGUUCUUAUUACCCUCUUUUAAAUCUCUUAAUAAUGCAUUUUUCUUUAUACCUUUUAAAUAUGACCCUUGGUGUUUUUUUUCCUGAUCCUUAUCUCAACCCAUGAACCCUUUGGGCUUUUUCCCUUCCUCUGCUCAACUAUAGCAUGAAUGAACAGUUUUUGUAGAUGCCUGGUCUUUCAACCAUUUCAAACCAUGACAAGUUGUAACAUACUGCUGAAGGGAUUUUCCGAGAUGUCUUUCACUAGUGGCCAACUCAGAGCAAAACUCACUGUGAAAUCCUGGCCUGAACAUAGCCCAGUAUAGUUCCAUGUAUGUUUCUUUUCACCACAGCAAAUGACAGCGCAGGCAAAAUGAACUCCACCUCCAUCACUUGGAGGUUGCUUUGAGUAAGUCAGCGCUUUGCAGAGACUUCCACUUUUUUGAUUGUGCUCUCCCUCUCUCACCUCUCUGUUUCUGACAAACAAAAACUGUGAGGUGUCUGUAUGAGUUGGCAGGCUGCCUAGCUGCCCUUGUCAAAAUGGCUUGGUAAAUUUGACCUGAGUACUGAAUGUUUACACAAGGAUUGCUUCAACUUAAUGAGCUGCUUGAUACUCAGGGCAUAUAAUUUCUGUGCACUGAGAGCUUAAAUAAAGGGCCACAUUCUGAAUUUUGAAAACAGUAAAUCACCAAGAGAACCAACACGUAACACUUGAACAUAUACAAGAUUGGAACAUUGGCAUUCAUGAUGAAUAAAACCCAUGUGAUUUUAAAGAUAAAUGAGCAAAAGGGAGGUGAACAGCGCUGAGGAACAGCCUUGUGCCAUGGGCUGAUGUACUGCAAGAUCUUGCUUGCUCAGGAAGUACUGUGAUUCCUGGUCUCAGCUUAACUUUUAGUGAAAUACAGUAAACUGUAUUCACUUGGUCCUGCACUGAGGCAGACUGGCCUAGCACAUCACAAAUAUUUUUUUACCAAACUUGCAGCAAUUCACUGGAUUCCCCCCAUGUUUUGCUCACAAAAGCAGCAUAUUGUAACUCAUGAAUCAGUCUUUCAGUCCCAAAUACCAUGACAUUCAUAAAACUCUGACAAGAAGUCUUUGAGAGUGAAAACAUGCCCCUGAUGCCUCUCCCUUGAUCACCUUUUCUUUCCUUCUCAUUCCUAGGUUCUCAGUCCAAUCUGAUCUGAUAAAUUUAGGGAGCUGGGAUGUAUUCCUGGGACUUUUGCUCCAGGCACAGGCGCAAAGAGCAAACCAGCACAGCACAGGGGACCUCAACUUAGUUUUUGCCUUCUUUGCUUUAACACAUCCCUCAAACAGUGCAAAAAACUCGCUUGCCAUCCUGGCAGCUACCACUGAUACAGAACUCAGCUCCAGAACUGCUCCUGGCCCUGAUGUCUGCUGGGCAGGAAUCCCUUGGGUGAGGAGGGGACAACAGAGUGGAGCUUGGCCUCUGCCCUGCUGCCCAGACCAGGACACAAGGUACUACAGGAGCAUUAAGCCCCACAUCACCAUUACCCUGGCAUGGCUGGGUCUCAAACAGGCACAGGACAGCAGAGUUGCUGAGGGCCUCCAGGCCAGAUAUCACAUACCCUAAGCCUGGCAAGUGGGGAAAAGCUUCUCACCGAUAAACAUGCCUACGAUCAACUACUUAGGACAGCUUGUUGCCAACUGCACAGACCAUCCAGAUUUUUGAGCUACAGUAUAGUUUGUCAAGCUAACAUAUAAAGCUGGUCUGCCUUUCUGCAUGGGGGGAAAAAGAAUGUGCACUAUGAACGGUUCCUGCUGCAAUGCCAAGAAUUAUACCAAAGAAAAGAAACCUGCUCAAAGGAGUCUGCAAACCAUUUUAACCAGGAACCAAAUAGGGUGGGUUUUUUUCUUAAUGGAGUGUUAUAUUACAUUAGCAAAAGUAAUGUGA